UGCGGGGUGGAGCAGUCUGNNGUCGGGCUCAUAACCCGAAGGUCAUCGGUUCAAAUCCGGUCCCCGCUACCA
Molecule: transfer RNA, 72 nt
Filed under: Halomonas sp.
Lineage: Bacteria; Pseudomonadati; Pseudomonadota; Gammaproteobacteria; Oceanospirillales; Halomonadaceae
Description: tRNA-Leu
Rfam family: tRNA
About the family: Transfer RNA (tRNA) molecules are approximately 80 nucleotides in length. Their secondary structure includes four short double-helical elements and three loops (D, anti-codon, and T loops). Further hydrogen bonds mediate the characteristic L-shaped molecular structure. tRNAs have two regions of fundamental functional importance: the anti-codon, which is responsible for specific mRNA codon recognition, and the 3' end, to which the tRNAs corresponding amino acid is attached (by aminoacyl-tRNA synthetases). tRNAs cope with the degeneracy of the genetic code in two manners: having more than one tRNA (with a specific anti-codon) for a particular amino acid; and 'wobble' base-pairing, i.e. permitting non-standard base-pairing at the 3rd anti-codon position.
Source: RNAcentral